AUUUAUGUAGUUUAUAAAAACAUUACAUUUUCAUUGUAAAAUUAGAAUAACUUCUCAUAAAUA
RNAcentral lists this transfer RNA (63 nucleotides) under Simianus niponicus. RNAcentral describes it as "tRNA-Glu". It matches the Rfam family "tRNA". From Rfam's summary of the family: Transfer RNA (tRNA) molecules are approximately 80 nucleotides in length. Their secondary structure includes four short double-helical elements and three loops (D, anti-codon, and T loops). Further hydrogen bonds mediate the characteristic L-shaped molecular structure. tRNAs have two regions of fundamental functional importance: the anti-codon, which is responsible for specific mRNA codon recognition, and the 3' end, to which the tRNAs corresponding amino acid is attached (by aminoacyl-tRNA synthetases). tRNAs cope with the degeneracy of the genetic code in two manners: having more than one tRNA (with a specific anti-codon) for a particular amino acid; and 'wobble' base-pairing, i.e. permitting non-standard base-pairing at the 3rd anti-codon position. Lineage: Eukaryota; Metazoa; Arthropoda; Insecta; Coleoptera; Callirhipidae. The record is from RNAcentral.